RNAcentral lists this ribosomal RNA (492 nucleotides) under uncultured bacterium. Its description in RNAcentral is "partial 16S ribosomal RNA". It matches the Rfam family "Bacterial small subunit ribosomal RNA", at positions 28 to 507 of the family's 1533-position model. The record is from RNAcentral.
GAUGAACGCUAGCUACAGGCUUAACACAUGCAAGUCGAGGGGAAACGACAUCGAAAGCUUGCUUUUGAUGGGCGUCGACCGGCGCACGGGUGAGUAACGCGUAUCCAACCUGCCCAUCACUUGGGAAUAACCUUGCGAAAGUAAGACUAAUACCCAAUGAUAUCCCACGAAGGCAUCGGAAUGGGAUUAAAGAUUUAUCGGUGAUGGAUGGGGAUGCGUCUGAUUAGCUUGUUGGCGGGGUAACGGCCCACCAAGGCAACGAUCAGUAGGGGUUCUGAGAGGAAGGGCCCCCACAUUGGAACUGAGACACGGUCCAAACUCCUACGGGAGGCAGCAGUGAGGAAUAUUGGUCAAUGGGCGAGAGCCUGAACCAGCCAAGUAGCGUGCAGGAAGACGGCCCUAUGGGUGGUAAACUGCUUUUAGAAGGGAAUAAAGUGGGUCACGUGUGACUUUUUGCAUGUACCUUAUGAAUAAGGACCGGCUAAUUCCGUG